AGCGUAGGCGGCGCGGUAAGUCAGAUGUGAAAUCCCGGGGCUCAACCCCGGAACUGCAUCCGAUACUGCCGUGCUAGAGGACUGGAGAGGCAACUGGAAUUCUCGGUGUAGCAGUGAAAUGCGUGGAUAUCGAGAGGAACACUCGUGGCGAAAGCGAGUUGCUGGACAGUAUCUGACGCUGAGGCUCGAAGGGCCAGGGUAAGCGAAAG
This 209-nucleotide ribosomal RNA is filed under the name uncultured bacterium. RNAcentral describes it as "partial 16S ribosomal RNA". It matches the Rfam family "Bacterial small subunit ribosomal RNA", at positions 568 to 774 of the family's 1533-position model. The record is from RNAcentral.